UACUUUAUUGGCAAAAAUAGACCUGACAAACAGAUGGGUUGGGCAAUCCGUGGGCGGAUCAUUAUAUCCGCAGGUUAUUUGGGUAUUGGUAAAAUUUACUCGCAAAUUUUUGGGUAGCCAACAUUUUUACCCAUACCCGCCCGCGGGUGGGCGGAUGGGUAUGCGGGUUACCCGUAAUUUUUUUUUCUUUUUUUUCUUAUAUUUUUUAAAUACAAAUGCAUAUAAAUAAGUUUUAAAAAUAUAGCAUAAUUCAUUAUUUAAAAUAUCAUAACAUAAAAAAAAAAUAUAUUUAAAGUCUUAAAACAAAAAAAUUUCGUAAUAUAAAAGACGCGGUAAGAAAUUAGGGUUAGAAUUUUUAAGAUGGAUAAAUAAAAAUAUAUGUAUUUUAAUUAAGAAAAUAUAUUUUUUAAUUAAAAAGUAUAUGGGCGGGUACCCGUGGGUACCCGCGGGUUACCCAAAAUGCCCACAGCUUAAUGGGUACCCGUCCGUUUUACCCGUAAUUUUUUAGAUUUGAAAAGUUGGUACCCAUACUCGCAAAUUUGCGGGUAACCCGCGGGCACCCGCGGGUAUGGAUCGAGAUUGCCAGGUCUAGCAAAAAAAUAU
Molecule: long non-coding RNA, 603 nt
Filed under: Ananas comosus (pineapple)
Lineage: Eukaryota; Viridiplantae; Streptophyta; Magnoliopsida; Poales; Bromeliaceae
Description: long non-coding RNA (ACOM_LNC000296)
Source: RNAcentral